Molecule: transfer RNA, 87 nt
Filed under: Candidatus Berkelbacteria bacterium
Lineage: Bacteria; Candidatus Berkelbacteria
Description: tRNA-Tyr
Rfam family: tRNA
About the family: Transfer RNA (tRNA) molecules are approximately 80 nucleotides in length.
Source: RNAcentral
GCUGGGGUACCCAAGUGGACAACGGGAGCAGACUGUAAAUCUGCCGGCCUUGCGCCUGCGUAGGUUCGAAUCCUACCCCCAGCACCA